GACUGAGUGGCGGACGGGUGAGUAACGCGUGGGUAACCUGCCUCGUACAGGGGGAUAACAGUUAGAAAUGACUGCUAAUACCGCAUAAGCGCACAGUGCUGCAUGGCACAGUGUGAAAAACUCCGGUGGUAUGAGAUGGACCCGCGUCUGAUUAGCUAGUUGGUGGGGUAACGGCCUACCAAGGCGACGAUCAGUAGCCGACCUGAGAGGGUGACCGGCCACAUUGGGACUGAGACACGGCCCAAACUCC
RNAcentral lists this ribosomal RNA (250 nucleotides) under uncultured Lachnospiraceae bacterium. RNAcentral's name for it is "partial 16S ribosomal RNA". It matches the Rfam family "Bacterial small subunit ribosomal RNA", at positions 89 to 339 of the family's 1533-position model. The record is from RNAcentral. Lineage: Bacteria; Bacillati; Bacillota; Clostridia; Lachnospirales; Lachnospiraceae.